GACGAACGCUGGCGGCGUGCUUAACACAUGCAAGUCGAACGGAAAGGCCCUGCUUUUGUGGGGUGCUCGAGUGGCGAACGGGUGAGUAACACGUGAGUAACCUGCCCUUGACUUUGGGAUAACUUCAGGAAACUGGGGCUAAUACCGGAUAGGAGCUCCUGCUGCAUGGUGGGGGUUGGAAAGUUUCGGCGGUUGGGGAUGGACUCGCGGCUUAGCAGCUUGUUGGUGGGGUAGUGGCUUACCAAGGCUUUGACGGGUAGCCGGCCUGAGAGGGUGACCGGCCACAUUGGGACUGAGAGACGGCCCAGACUCCUACGGGAGGCAGCAGUGGGGAAUAUUGCACAAUGGGCGGAAGCCUGAUGCAGCAACGCCGCGUGCGGGAUGACGGCCUUCGGGUUGUAAACCGCUUUCGCCUGUGACGAAGCGUGAGUGACGGUAAUGGGUAAAGAAGCACCGGCUAACUACGU
RNAcentral lists this ribosomal RNA (467 nucleotides) under uncultured bacterium. RNAcentral's name for it is "partial 16S ribosomal RNA". It matches the Rfam family "Bacterial small subunit ribosomal RNA", at positions 28 to 506 of the family's 1533-position model. The record is from RNAcentral.